Salvia splendens (bonfire salvia) is the source of this 1282-nucleotide long non-coding RNA. RefSeq lists it as uncharacterized. The record is from RefSeq and is a predicted model, not a curated record. Lineage: Eukaryota; Viridiplantae; Streptophyta; Magnoliopsida; Lamiales; Lamiaceae. The transcript is spliced from 2 exons.
UUGCCCUCCUUUCUUCCCGUGGACGUAGAUUUACCUCAGUAAAUCGAACCACGUAAUUCCUUGUGUCGUGAUCUAUAUUCAUUACCUGCAUUUACUACUAUCAAAAAUUCGCCCAACCAUCAAUAACCUUGUCAAAUGGGGAAGAAAAUUUCUUUUCGGAUCUUGAAACUCUUAAAACUUCUAGUUUCAAGAGAGUUAUACUAUGUGUAUUAGCGUAUGCCUUGGUUGAGUAAGAGAAGUAUGUAGCUUGACCAUAUUAGUAUCUUUAAAAGCAUGUUUCUUCUCCCAGAUGCGAUGCGCAAUUAGUGGUUCUGGAAAGACAUCGAUGCCCAUGCUAGAGGAGCUUUUGCUUAUGGUGCACUUCCUAUAACAAUCUCAGGAGGAUUUUCAGUGUUGAUGAUGUGGCAGGAGGAGUUUGUGGCUAGGCUAUUGCUGGGCUAUUCCUAUUGUGGAUGGCCUUAUAAAAAGAAAGCCAAGUAAGGAGACUUUCCUUAACUGAUUCAUUAUUGAAACGACACGGAUUUUAAUGCAAAAUCUAGGUCUCCCUUUAUGCCUUUUAACUCUAUAGAAAUAUAGAUUGUUGCAUUCACGAAAUUAGAUGAUGCAAUUUCAUCCUUUUCGUGUCUAAAAGAGUGUACCUUAAAUUGGUCACCUGAAGAUUUUGAACUAAAAGAGCAUAACUAGAAUUGGCCAACUGAAGAUUUUAAAUUCAGGUAACACCCAAUGCAAUUAAACCUUUUCUUGGCACUAUUGCUACCAAGUUGGGGACACUUAUACUUUGUUACGUCCCUCUAUGCAUCCAUGACAUAAAUGAUUUGCAUUUGUAGGAAGCAAUGAAACAAACCUACGGGAGAGCACUCAAAUCAGCAACUGAUCUUGGUUAUCAGAAAGAAAGCCACGAUACUUCCCUCAACCAAUGCCUCAAUAUUGUUUUUUCGAUCUUUACAUUGCACAUUCAAGCAGUUCUACCUUCGUAUAUAUUGUUUCCAGUGUUAGUCGUUUCAGUUUUUGUCCAUUACUGUUCCACGUUUUCUUGCGUGCGUGUUGCUUCGUUUAAGUAGAUAUUUCAUCUCCAAAGCUGGAUUUUUGUUUUAGAAUCCAGUCUAUCUCACUUCCAUUCACUGUCAUCUUCGUACUUAACACCUUAUGCACGCAUGCCACUAGGGUGCACAUGCCCUUAGAGCUCGUGCACAAGCACUCUUGCUCUCUCACUAAGGCAUCUUUGUAGAGAGCAAUGGAGAAAUCAUGGUUUUUAACUAUAAAACUGCAAUGGAGUUGCCUA